AUAUAUUCAUAUUGUAUCUGAAUAUAUGCACACAUAUACACAUAUACAGAUUUCUUCAGUGUGGGGAUCUCUCAGUGAGGAACUUCCCUCUACUAAUGCAGAUGUACAAUUUUUCAUUCAUCAAAUUGUAGUCUUCUGAACUCCAAGACGACCUUUUUCCCCUCCAAAAGACACACUAAUGAAACAUCCAUGGCCAAUAAGAAAAUAAAUUUUGAGCUGGAAGGGACCAUAGAGAUCAUCUAAUCCAAUUGUCUCUUUUUAUAGAUAAAGAAGGCCAGAAAUCUGAAGACACUUGACCAGUGUGACAUAGUAUUUGGUGAGAUUGGAACACCAGUGUGCUGAUUCCAAUUCCAAGGCUCUGGCUUGAUUAAAUUGAUUAUUUACCAGAUGCUCAAAUUUUAAUCUGGGAAUAUUAAUUUUUAAAAUGAAUAUUGCAAGGACACUAAAAACCUAUCAAGCAGAUGCUGACAAGCAAACUAGCUAUAAUGGAAGGAGCAUAUAAACUUCUCCAGUACAAAUUAGAUGCUGCUUUCUAUUCUAGCUAUAUAGAAGGAAGACUGCUGAUUAAGGGACAAGUGCUGUCUUUCAUUUUAUAAACCAAAGGGCUUUUAGCUGAUAAAUAUAUAUCUGUACAUACUUGCACAUACACAUAUUAUAUGUAAAUAAUGUUUGUUCACAUGUAAAAUUAAUGUAUACCUUUCAAGCUCUUUAUGUGCUAGUAUAAAACCCUUUGAUUUGUUUAUUUCUCCUUUAAAUUAAUUCAGAUGCAAUGACAGCAGUUUAAGUAAUGUCCUCUCUGACUCUUCAGAAAAUAUAAUUCUUUUUUUUCUGCUGCUACAUUUUCCUGGGUAGAAGAAUAGCUAAAAAUUGUUUUUCUUGCAGAUAUUGUUAUGAAUUAUUUUAUGACUUAGUUUCAUUUGUCUUCAUCAGAGUAAGAGAAUAUUGAGAAGAUGGGGAAUAUGAGGAAAGGCCAUUGAGCCCAUCAAGUUCCUUCCUUUUUAAUGUACCCUGGAGAACAUCUAAUUGCUUCUUGAAUGACCCUGAAGGUCUUCCUGGAAUGAGCUUGUUGUCUUCUUUGUUGAGAAGACCAUCCCCAUCUCGUUCUAACUCAUUGUGACUUAAUUAUAGGAUACAUAUAAUAAAUUGGAGGCAAUCAGUAAUCCUUAAUCA
Molecule: long non-coding RNA, 1170 nt
Filed under: Phascolarctos cinereus (koala)
Lineage: Eukaryota; Metazoa; Chordata; Mammalia; Diprotodontia; Phascolarctidae
Description: lncRNA (ENSPCIG00000032903.1)
Source: RNAcentral